This 242-nucleotide ribosomal RNA is filed under the name uncultured bacterium. Its description in RNAcentral is "partial 16S ribosomal RNA". It matches the Rfam family "Bacterial small subunit ribosomal RNA", at positions 15 to 236 of the family's 1533-position model. The record is from RNAcentral.
GAUCCUGGCUCAGGACGAACGCUGGCGGCGCGCCUAACACAUGCAAGUCGAACGGACACAUCCGACGGAAUAGCUUGCUAGGAAGAUGGAUGUUGUUAGUGGCGGACGGGUGAGUAACACGUGAGCAACCUGCCUCGGAGUGGGGGACAACAGUUGGAAACGACUGCUAAUACCGCAUACGGUGGUCGGGGGACAUCCCCUGGCCAAGAAAGGAUUAUAUCCGCUCUGAGAUGGGCUCGCGU